Molecule: ribosomal RNA, 492 nt
Filed under: uncultured bacterium
Lineage: Bacteria
Description: partial 16S ribosomal RNA
Rfam family: Bacterial small subunit ribosomal RNA
Source: RNAcentral
AGUGAACGCUGGCGGUAGGCCUAACACAUGCAAGUCGAACGGCAGCACAGUAAGAGCUUGCUCUUACGGGUGGCGAGUGGCGGACGGGUGAGGAAUACAUCGGAAUCUACUUUUUCGUGGGGGAUAACGUAGGGAAACUUACGCUAAUACCGCAUACGACCUACGGGUGAAAGCAGGGGAUCUUCGGACCUUGCGCGAUUGAAUGAGCCGAUGUCGGAUUAGCUAGUUGGCGGGGUAAAGGCCCACCAAGGCGACGAUCCGUAGCUGGUCUGAGAGGAUGAUCAGGCACACUGGAACUGAGACACGGUCCAGACUCCUAAGGGAGGCAGCAGUGGGGAAUAUUGGACAAUGGGCGCAAGCCUGAUCCAGCCAUACCGCGUGGGUGAAGAAGGCCUUCGGGCUGUAAAGCCCUUUUGUUGGGAAAGAAAAGCAGCAGGUUAAUACCCCGCUGUUCUGACGGUACCCAAAGAAUAAGCACCGGCUAACUUCGUG